UACGGUGGGGGCAAGCGUUGUUCGGAAUUACUGGGCGUAAAGGGCUCGUAGGUGGCCAACUAAGUCAGACGUGAAAUCCCUCGGCUUAACCGGGGAACUGCGUCUGAUACUGGAUGGCUUGAGUUCGGGAGAGGGAUGCGGAAUUCCAGGUGUAGCGGUGAAAUGCGUAGAGAUGCGGAGGAACACCGAUGGCGAAGGCAGCCCCCUGGGCUGACACUGAUGCUCAGGCACGAAAGCGUGGGGAGCAAACAGG
Molecule: ribosomal RNA, 253 nt
Filed under: uncultured bacterium
Lineage: Bacteria
Description: partial 16S ribosomal RNA
Rfam family: Bacterial small subunit ribosomal RNA
Source: RNAcentral